Molecule: microRNA, 22 nt
Filed under: Branchiostoma floridae (Florida lancelet)
Lineage: Eukaryota; Metazoa; Chordata; Leptocardii; Amphioxiformes; Branchiostomatidae
Description: Bfl-Mir-193-P1k_5p* (star (passenger))
Source: RNAcentral
AGUGACUUGUGGGGUCAGUCGG